AUACGGAGGGUGCGAGCGUUAAUCGGAAUUACUGGGCGUAAAGCGUGCGUAGGCGGUUUGCUAAGCCAGAUGUGAAAGCCCCGGGCUUAACCUGGGAACUGCAUUUGAUACUGGCAGACUAGAGUAUGAUAGAGGGGGGUAGAAUUCCUGGUGUAGCGGUGAAAUGCGUAGAUAUCAGGAGGAAUACCAGUGGCGAAGGCGGCCCCCUGGAUCAAUACUGACGCUGAGGUACGAAAGCGUGGGGAGCGAACAGGAUUAGAAACCCUAGUAGUCC
This 274-nucleotide ribosomal RNA is filed under the name uncultured bacterium. RNAcentral describes it as "partial 16S ribosomal RNA". It matches the Rfam family "Bacterial small subunit ribosomal RNA", at positions 523 to 796 of the family's 1533-position model. The record is from RNAcentral.